GCAAGUCGAACGGCAGCGGGGACUUCGGUCCGCCGGCGAGUGGCGAACGGGUGAGUAAUGCAUCGGAACGUGCCUAUCAGUGGGGGAUAACGCUUCGAAAGGAGUGCUAAUACCGCAUAUUCUCUGAGGAGGAAAGCAGGGGACCUUAGGGCCUUGCGCUGAUAGAGCGGCCGAUGUCGGAUUAGCUAGUUGGUGAGGUAAAGGCUCACCAAGGCGACGAUCCGUAGCGGGUCUGAGAGGAUGAUCCGCCACACUGGGACUGAGACACGGCCCAGACUCCUACGGGAGGCAGCAGUGGGGAAUUUUGGACAAUGGGCGAAAGCCUGAUCCAGCCAUGCCGCGUGAGUGAAGAAGGCCUUCGGGUUGUAAAGCUCUUUUGUCCGGGAGGAAAUCCUGGCCUCUAAUACAGGUCGGGGAUGACAGUACUGGAAGAAUAAGCACCGGCUAACUACGUGCCAGCAGCCGCGGUAAUACGUAGGGUGCAAGCGUUAAUCGGAAUUACUGGGCGUAAAGC
Molecule: ribosomal RNA, 514 nt
Filed under: uncultured bacterium
Lineage: Bacteria
Description: bacterial SSU rRNA
Rfam family: Bacterial small subunit ribosomal RNA
Source: RNAcentral